Molecule: long non-coding RNA, 1662 nt
Organism: Fundulus heteroclitus (mummichog)
Lineage: Eukaryota; Metazoa; Chordata; Actinopteri; Cyprinodontiformes; Fundulidae
Exons: 3
Source: RefSeq, a predicted model, not a curated record
CCAGCUUUCUCUGUUCCAACCUGAGCAGAGGUAUUCAGGCUACGUGGAUCCAUGAUGCUGAAGAGGAGCAGAUGAUCGGCUGACCUGAGGCAUUGAGCAGGAGAGUAACAGUGGAGCAGAUCAGAGAGGUAAGUUGGAACAAGACCAUGUCAACUUUUAAAAACUAGCAAGACCAUGUCAACUUUUAAAAACUGUCAAUAUUUUUUUCAUCAAAUGUUUGGAUUAUUUUCGGCUGUUAUACGUAAGUAAGAAUUGGUUCAACUGAAAAAGUGGGAUUGAAUAUUGGAAUAUUUCUACUGUGUGGAUUAGAUGUGUGCAUUUAGUUAGACACUUAAGACAUACACAGGCCCUCACAACAACCAGUUGCAUGUGUUUGAUGACUGAUGAUGUAAUUUACAUCAUCCAAUACCUUAGGAACCAUGUUGGUAUCCAUAUACUUACUGGGCCUGUCACAGCUGCUUUAAUCAUAUGUUGAAGUAGAGUCAUUAAUGCCUCAAUCAAUCGCUUGUGCUUAAACAUUUGGAGUUGCCAUUGGCAUAAUCCAAAUUAUUAUGUGGGUAUCUAAAUUACUGCCAUUUAUUUGGUAAAGUAGGAUUGUUAAGCACCCUCACAGAAAUCAACAAAAAUGUCCGGAGAGAAGAGAGCAUGCACUUUGUGUCAGGGUUCUCUGUGUUUCCAUGCUCUAACUCUGCUUCACAGGUGGCUGCAGUUGACUGGUGGGCAUGGCCCACACCUGCUGCUCAUCAAGGAGCUUUCAUCUCAGGCUUUAUAAGGAGUUCAGAGACAGCUGGAAGACGCCAGAGUGUUACCCCGUCGUGGUAUGCCUAGGCCUCUGAUCUGUCUCCAGUGCCUCGUAUCUGUGAGUUCUUGGAAACCCUGUUUAUGGACUAACUCUGUCACCUGUUAUUCUCCAGUCUUGUCGUGUUUGGAUUUACUCACAUGUAUUGGUGUCGUGCUCAGUGAACAAGCCUUCAGAAUCCCCACCGCUCAGAUUUCGCUCUGGCAUCUCCUCUCAUGCUCCCUUGGUGGUGCCAAGCCGGGCGUGAGAACCGCUUCCUGGAUUCACCUGGUUCACCUACAAACCCUCCAGUUCUUCCAGCUGCUCCUCCUGCCAGCCGUUUCAGUGGUGCUGUCCGGACCCCUUGCCAGCAUUCCAUCUGUCAGCCCUCCAGUCACUCAGCCACCUGUUUCCAUCAGUGAGUUACAGUCACAGAGUUCCCACAUUACUCAUCCCCCCCGGAUAGGUCUCCCCAACCAAACGUCGUUCCAGCUCUGACAUUCAGACCUCGCCUGUCACACACACUGUGUGCUUUUGCAUUAUUGAGCCUUAAAAUAAAAAUCUUAAAAAUGUUUCUGCUUCUGUCUGUGGCUGCAUGUGGGCCAAACACUUAAAAACCAUGACACUUUGUAGUUCCUUUUUGGGAAGCUGUAGGUUCGGGUUUGCCUCGUAUCAUUCAUACGCAUACCCAUCACGUAAUGAUGUCGGAAUUAAAGGCUGCCCGAAUUCAGCACAUCAGUCUGAAGCUCCUUUCCUCCCCACGAGUUCUUACUGUUGAACCCAUGAAAGGUCAAAGAACAGGCGCUAGAAGCUAUCAUUUAGGGUAUUUCGAUGGGACCUGUGUUUUCGACUGCUUUCUGUACAGCCGAACACAAACUUCAGGU